CUGCUCCGGUCUAAUUUUUUUAUUCAAUUUGCCUAUCACUUACCUUACCAAUUUUUUUCCACAGAUAAGACACUUGGUCUUUGUGAAGCUAUGAAGUUUAGUGUUAUUCUUCGAUUUGCUCAGUUUAUAAAAAUGUCAGAUUGCCCGCAACAGCUCAAGGAUGAUUCUGCUUGGAUUCUCGUACUCAUUUUCUCUUUUCACCUCGCCGAUAUAUUUUGAUAUGGUUGAAUAUGGGCUGGUGGAAGUUCUUGUAAAGCUUCUGGACUUUCCAGAUGAAAGUCUUUGUGAGAAGGUGUGUUUUAUAAUUGGAAGAGCCCCCGCCGUCCCCCGUCCCCACAUGUUGUAUAAUUAUUAGCGGGCUGAAUGUAUUUUCUUUACAUCUAUAAGUUGUGCUGGUAGUGGGAGAAAUUAUUGCCGGUGAUUGUUAUUGUGUUCUUAACCAUGGCGCUUUGACUCCUUUGUUGAACGAGUUAAAGGAGGCGAACAAUAAUUUUUCAAUGCAGAGAAAAGCCACGAGGACUUUGUCACUGAUUUUUAAAAGCAAGCCGGAUCUUCUAUCUGAGCAGGUUACUUCAGCAGUCUGUUCUCUUUUAGAGCUUCUUCGUUGAUGAGGUGCUAACAAAUGUAUGUUGUGCCCUUGCUUACCAUAUUGAUGCUAUACAUGGUAUUAUCCAACACCACAAUAACGGGGAUAUUUAUGACCGGCUGGUUGGACUCCUCCGGCAAGACUCUCAUUCAGUAAUAAUCCCCGUCCUCAAAAUAGUUGUAAAUAUUGUUCGAAGAGAGAAGAGCUGGUCUAAUAAGUUCAAUCCUGCCGACCUUGGUUGCCUGGUGACGUUGCUUGAAAACCACAACGAAGAUGCAGAGGUGGUCUCCAGCAUUUGCAGUCCAAGACCAUGAUAAAAAUGGUUCUUUAGUACUGAGAAGUAGACAAGGGUUCUUUUAAAGAAAAACUAUUAUUUCCGAGUUUGUUACACUGGCUAGCUUAUGAUGCACUUACCCUAGCAUUACAAGGACUCGUUUGGAAUAUGUAAAAGUAUCCUCAUAUGAGGUUUCAACGUGGUGUCAGUGCCAUCUCUAAUAUUGUAGUU
This is a non-coding RNA of Nicotiana tabacum (common tobacco), 1091 nucleotides long. The record is from RefSeq and is a predicted model, not a curated record. Lineage: Eukaryota; Viridiplantae; Streptophyta; Magnoliopsida; Solanales; Solanaceae.